CCAGCAGCUGCGGUAAUUCCAGCUCUAAUAGCGUAUAUUAAAGUUGUUGCAGUUAAAAAGCUCGUAGUCGGAUGUCGGGCUCGGGCAGGCUGUCGGCUUCGGUCGGACGGCAGGCUCGGGUCUUUCUGCCUGAGGAACCCGUGGCACUUAACUGUGCGGCGUGGGGACGCGGGCCGUUUACUUUGAAAAAAUUAGAGUGUUCAAAGCAGGCCUACGCUUGAAUACAUUAGCAUGGAAUAAUGGAAUAGGACUUUGGUGUUAUUUUGUUGGUUUAUGGGACCGAAGUAAUGAUUAACAGGGACAGUUGGGGGCAUUAGUAUUUAAUUGUCAGAGGUGAAAUUCUUGGAUUUAUUAAAGACUAACUUAUGCGAAAGCAUUUGCCAAGGAUGUUUUCA
RNAcentral lists this ribosomal RNA (395 nucleotides) under uncultured eukaryote. RNAcentral's name for it is "SSU rRNA". It matches the Rfam family "Eukaryotic small subunit ribosomal RNA", at positions 567 to 972 of the family's 1831-position model. The record is from RNAcentral.